RNAcentral lists this ribosomal RNA (293 nucleotides) under uncultured bacterium. RNAcentral describes it as "partial 16S ribosomal RNA". It matches the Rfam family "Archaeal small subunit ribosomal RNA", at positions 455 to 747 of the family's 1478-position model. The record is from RNAcentral.
GUGCCAGCCGCCGCGGUAAUACCAGCAGCUCAAGUGAUGUCCCAUAUUAUUGGGCCUAAAGCGUCCGUAGCUGGCCGCGCAAGUCCAUCGGAAAAUCCACCCGCCCAACGGGUGGGCGUCCGGUGGAAACUGCGUGGCUUGGGACCGGAAGGCGCGACGGGUACGUCCGGGGUAGGAGUGAAAUCCCAUAAUCCCGCACGGACCACCGAUGGCGAAAGCACUUCGAGAAAACGGAUCCGACAGUGAGGGACGAAAGCCAGGGUCUCCAACCGGAUUAGAUACUCCAGUAGUCC